UCCCCGGUAGUAUAGUGGUGAGAAUCUCCGCCUGUCACGUGGGAGACCGGGGUUCAAUUCCCCGCCGGGGAG
This 72-nucleotide transfer RNA is filed under the name Daphnia pulex (common water flea). It matches the Rfam family "tRNA". From Rfam's summary of the family: Transfer RNA (tRNA) molecules are approximately 80 nucleotides in length. Their secondary structure includes four short double-helical elements and three loops (D, anti-codon, and T loops). The record is from Rfam by way of RNAcentral. Lineage: Eukaryota; Metazoa; Arthropoda; Branchiopoda; Diplostraca; Daphniidae.